AUUGAACGCUGGCGGCAGGCCUAACACAUGCAAGUCGAGCGGAUAAAGGGAGCUUGCUCCUGGAUUCAGCGGCGGACGGGUGAGUAAUGCCUAGGAAUCUGCCUGGUAGUGGGGGAUAACGUCCGGAAACGGGCGCUAAUACCGCAUACGUCCUGAGGGAGAAAGUGGGGGAUCUUCGGACCUCACGCUAUCAGAUGAGCCUAGGUCGGAUUAGCUAGUUGGUGGGGUAAAGGCCUACCAAGGCGACGAUCCGUAACUGGUCUGAGAGGAUGAUCAGUCACACUGGAACUGAGACACGGUCCAGACUCCUACGAGAGGCAGCAGUGGGGAAUAUUGGACAAUGGGCGAAAGCCUGAUCCAGCCAUGCCGCGUGUGUGAAGAAGGUCUUCGGAUUGUAAAGCACUUUAAGUUGGGAGGAAGGGCAGUAAGUUAAUACCUUGCUGUUUUGACGUUACCAACAGAAUAAGCACCGGCUAACUUCGUG
RNAcentral lists this ribosomal RNA (484 nucleotides) under uncultured bacterium. RNAcentral describes it as "partial 16S ribosomal RNA". It matches the Rfam family "Bacterial small subunit ribosomal RNA", at positions 30 to 507 of the family's 1533-position model. The record is from RNAcentral.